This is a non-coding RNA of Callorhinus ursinus (northern fur seal), 135 nucleotides long. The record is from RefSeq and is a predicted model, not a curated record. NCBI's taxonomy places the organism in Eukaryota, Metazoa, Chordata, Mammalia, Carnivora, Otariidae.
ACGUGAGCUCUCCCGAUCUGUCAGCAUGUUGUUGUUGAAGUGUGGGGUUGUAACUCUGCGUGGACUAUGGACAGUCAACAAUAUGUACUUAAAAGUUGCACUAUUGCAAAACGGGUGUAUUAUCCAGGUACUCGU